Gopherus flavomarginatus (Mexican gopher tortoise) is the source of this 700-nucleotide long non-coding RNA. RefSeq lists it as uncharacterized. The transcript has 3 exons. NCBI's taxonomy places the organism in Eukaryota, Metazoa, Chordata, Testudines, Testudinidae. The record is from RefSeq and is a predicted model, not a curated record.
GCCGUUGGCCGGGCUGCGCGUUCCCGCGCCUGCCGAGGGGAGGGUGGCGCGCGCUGCCCCUCAGCGGCCAUCAGGCGCUUUAAUCUCAGGUUAGUCUGGUGCCCGUGGAACGGGCCAGCCCCGGCAGGAUCACCCCACGGAUGGGCCUCAGGCAGCCCCGCUUCGAGGCGGGCCAGAAGCUUAUAUGGAUAAAACUGUGCCUACUAAACAAUGGCAUCUUAUAGUAAAAAAUCCAUGGCAAAUGUGCAGCUGCUUAAUGACAGUGACCACUAAUAAGAGCAGUCUUCUCAACGAAAAUAUACGCUGGCUGCUUCUAGCAAGAUCUGCACAUUCUGCAGGAAAGUGUUGAUCUUUUCCAUGGAGUCCCCACUACUGCUGAAAAUGUCACUGAAUGGGCACCUGGACAUAUCUGCUGCUGGCAUUUCUUGCUGCUGACCUAAAGAAGGAUCCAAAACAUCACCCUCGCAUUUCAGUUCUUUCCUCGGCCGGCCACGUUUCCCCAUUGCUUUUGGAAAUUCAAACUUUAAAAUUUAAAGCUCUUUCCUCGACUUCUCUUGUUCCUCUGCCCUUGUUGCAGUUUGUGUGUGUCUGUGCGUGCGAGAGAGAGAGAUUGAAUGAAUCAAGGGACCUCCUGACUUUGAGACUCCGCUGUGGUCCUAGUGCUAGUUGAGUUCUAAACAAUAAAGGGGAAUGGAAAGGG